AGGUACCGAGUGGCGAACGGGUGAGUAACACGUGGGUAAUCUGCCCUGCACUUCGGGAUAAGCCUGGGAAACUGGGUCUAAUACCGAAUAGGACCAUUUAGCGCAUGCUUUAUGGUGGAAAGCUUUUGCGGUGUGGGAUGGGCCCGCGGCCUAUCAGCUUGUUGGUGGGGUGACGGCCUACCAAGGCGACGACGGGUAGCCGGCCUGAGAGGGUGUCCGGCCACACUGGGACUGAGAUACGGCCCAGACUCCUACGGGAGGCAGCAGUGGGGAAUAUUGCACAAUGGGCGCAAGCCUGAUGCAGCGACGCCGCGUGGGGGAUGACGGCCUUCGGGUUGUAAACCUCUUUCAGCAGGGACGAAGCGCAAGUGACGGUACCUGCAGAAUAAGCACCGGCCAACUACGUG
RNAcentral lists this ribosomal RNA (407 nucleotides) under uncultured bacterium. Its description in RNAcentral is "bacterial SSU rRNA". It matches the Rfam family "Bacterial small subunit ribosomal RNA", at positions 86 to 507 of the family's 1533-position model. The record is from RNAcentral.